This 1359-nucleotide long non-coding RNA is filed under the name Triticum aestivum (bread wheat). Its description in RNAcentral is "long non-coding RNA (TAES_LNC023717)". Lineage: Eukaryota; Viridiplantae; Streptophyta; Magnoliopsida; Poales; Poaceae. The record is from RNAcentral.
UUUGUAGUAGAACCAUUCAUCUUGAAGUUCAUGAGGAAUGUAAAUAUAUACUUUUCCAAAAGCGAGACCAGAUGAACAAUCCACAUCAAGUUUGAUACAAUGUACUUCUCAUACAGCAAAAUCAAGGCACAGGAGCAAUGCGAGACAAAUAACCUAUGUAGUUCCACGGAAGCAUAUUUUUGGAUAGAUCCACCUGAUCUUCUUGAUCGUCUUGACAUUCAACCUUUCAUAGGGCCAUGAGCAAAAGGAAGAAAGCAGAGAGAUUUAGUUAGUGGCAAUAGGAGGAUAAAGAAGUAAACUGUACUAUUGGUAGCUACUACAAUGUCCAGAUCGAAUAAUCUAACGAUCAUAUCCACUUGUACAUAUUUGGGCCCUCUGUUCAAUAUGUACCAUAUAAAUUAGGUGUCGCCCAACCUGGGCGAUUGGGGGGAACCCAGCCGCCGGUGGCUCACCACCCCUCCUCGUGCCUGCCCCCGCGUCACCGUUGCCGGAUACUGAUUUAUAUGGUUCUUCUAUGGCAUAAAGUGAUGCAAUUUAUUGCCAAAGUAGGAAUGGUUCAUAGCAGAACCAUAUAAAUUAGGCGGCAAAUGAGUAAGAAGAUUAGCCCUCUGUUCUAGCCAAAUUAAGGGGCUGGCUAAGGCAUGGUGCUGCACAAUCUUCAUACCAAUUUUCCCUGCUACAAUGUAAUGAAGCUUUGAAACUACAUAUACCAAGAUAUUCAUCAACCCAUUCAGAACAUAUACCAAUGUAACGAAGAGGGAGCAGUUAAUUUUGAUACAGAACAUGCACUUGUGAAUUGGCAGGUAAUAUGAAGGUGUUGUAUUGGAAUUUUACCUUCGCUUUCAGUGACACAUAUCAGAUAAUCUUCCCUCGACCCUUUCAUGAUGUGGUUGCUGCCGGUGCUCUAGGAAGAACACAGUUUUCUUAAUACUAAUUUUGAAAUAAGAAAACCUUAUCAUUGUGGAAUAUAAACAGAAGAAAAAGCAAAUAUAUGCAAAUUGUUAAGUUUGAGUGAAAUUUUAGAAACUGAAAUGGCAUGUGAAAUAUAUUUUUAUCUACAUUCUUCAUAUAAGCAUCGUAAAGAGAAAUGUAACCAUAAACUUGCCCUAUUGGAUAUAUCCUAUAUAUUUUCUAAAAUAAACUAUGUAUCAAACAGAAGUCAGAACAAAGGGAAUAUGCAUCAAAUAUGAUUUCACCUACAUUCCUCAUGUACACUUCACAAAAAAAUAGUGUUGGCUUGCUUUUCAUAAAAAUAGCAGUGGGGUCUUAUCCUACUUGUACAGCUAAAAAAUAUAUACGAAUUCACCCCACUCAAAGAAGUACACCUUUUUUUAGGAAUCAAGUGUAAAUCAGCCAAAC